UUUUUUUGUUUUUUUUUUUUUUUUUUGGCAAUGCCUGAAUUUCUUUAAACUAACAUUAUAGCACAAAGUGGGAAACAUGUUCUGUGGCUUUAGGCACAAGAACUUUGUCCCAUGGGAGGAAAUCCAAGAGGGCAAAUGCUUAUGGUCCAACCAUCCACAGGGGAGCUGUGUGUGUGUGUGUGUGUGUGUGUGUGUCGUGUGUGUGUGUGUGUGUGUGUGUGUGUGUGUGUGUGUGCAGUGAUUUGGGCAAUAACGUGCCAGCUGUGUUGGAGAAAGAGCUAGACAGGAGAAGAAAGAUAAUCUAGAUGUACUUCAGUCUUUUUCCCUGGGGCCCAGCCCAGACAUCUAUGCACUGUGGUUGCUCCUUAAGCACAGGCCACCUUAUUAGAUUGGUCUUUCCCUUGCCUCCUUGCUUUUGGAAGACACCACCUCAUCCCCUACCAUUCUCCCCAUGAAAUAAACAAGUUACACUUGGUGUCAAGGAUUAAUGCUUUAUACCAGCAGCGACAGCUACUAGAUAGAGUGGCAAAGUAAGCCCACUGGGCCCUGCAAAUAACCAAGGAGCAGAACUCCCAGAGCGAGACAAAGUUCAGAAGGUGAAGGGCCUAUUGGGUGCCUCCCAGUUUGUCCAUUUCAUUACCCUGUCAGUCUCCAUGGGUUUUUAGUUUUAUUUUUGUCUGUUUUCUUGUUUGUUUUGCCAUCAUUUUAAAGCAUCUGUCUGUUCAAAUGGUAGCAAAGCAGCCAAAUGAUUUUAAAUAGCCAAAGGGUACUACUAGAUCUUUGAAGUAAUAUUAAACAAAUACAGCUUAUAAACUUCCUUAGGGUAAGACUACCCUUGUAUCUUCUUUGAGGAAUAAAGUGAGAGGUGAGAAUAAACAGAACGAGAAGUGGGCUCAACACUGAGUAUGAUCAAAUCGGAGCUAAAGCUGCCAGCCUACACCACAGCCACACCAGAUUCGAGCCAUGUCUGUGACCUAUGCACAGCUCACGGCAACGCAACGCUGUAUCCUUAACCCACUGAGCAAGGCCAGGGGUCAAACCUGCAUCCCCAUGGAUCCUAGUCAGGUUCGUUAACUGCUGGGCCACAAAGGGAACUCCCAAAAAAGACUAUUUUUAUGAGUUUCUUCAUUAACUUAUUUACUCGUGUAAUAAGUAAUGUGUGCUAAAAAUAAUGUUUUUGAAACCAAGAAUAGUUGAAACAAAUCACUGAUUUUUUAAAAAGCCACGAAGUAUGAAUAAAGAUUGUUUUAUGCAGUAAUUUACUUAGUUAUAAAUUGUUAUGUUCAAUGAGAAAUUCUAAUUAAAGUAAUAAAACAGACCAGUGUAUUAAAUAAAUAAAUAAUGAAUAAAUAAAUAAAGUGUGAAGAACAUAGUAGCUUUGACCAGACAGACAAGGUCUUUGAACCCUGGGAAGGUGAUUUACCUCUAAGUCUCAAGUUCAUCAACUGUAAAAUGGGAACAAUAGUAAAUUUCUGCUGAUCUUCAGAUUCACACACUGGGCUAGUCAAAAUCAUUCUUAUUUAAAUGAUACCUAAGUCCCUCAAGCUCAGCACGUCUAAACCUGUGGACCUAUACAACCUAUUCCAGAGUUCUCUGUUCCCCACACAGCCAUAAAUCCCAGCUGUACUAAAUAUAUCACUUCUCUUCUUUUUACCCACCCAUGCUGAUCCAGUCACCAAAGUCCUCCUAUUUAAAAAGGAGUAUUAUGCAGUCAUUAAAAAUAAGACUGGGGAUGGAGUUCCCAUUGUGGCACAGCAGAAAUGAAUCUGACUAGUAUCCAUGAGGAUAUGGGUUCAAUCCCUGGCCUUGAUCAGUAGGUCAGGGAUCUGGCAUUGCAGUGAGCUGUGGUGUAGGUUGCAGAUGAGGCUCAGAUCUGGCAUUGCUGUGGCUGUGGUGUAGGCCAGCUGCUGUGGUUCCAAUUCAGUCCCUAGCUUGGGAACUUCUAUAUGCCAUGGGUGGGGCCCAAAAAAGCAAAAAAAUAAUAAUAAUAACAAUAAGACUGAGGAGGAGUUUCCGCUGUGGCACAGAGAGUUAAGGAUCUGGCAUUGCAGAAGCUGUGGCAUAGACUGCAGCUGUGGCUCGGACUUGAUCCCUGGCCCCGGGAACUUCCAUAUGCCACAGGUGUGGCGGAAAAA
This 2135-nucleotide long non-coding RNA is filed under the name Sus scrofa (pig). Its description in RNAcentral is "lncRNA (ENSSSCG00025022224.1)". Lineage: Eukaryota; Metazoa; Chordata; Mammalia; Artiodactyla; Suidae. The record is from RNAcentral.